AUGCUUCGUGGUUUUGCGCGGGUCGAAAUUGAAACAGACUGUUUGGAAGUGGUCAACCUCUGGAAAUCGCGCCGGAAUUCGCGCUCUGUAAUAGCGUCGGUACUUUUAGAUAUUGAGGAGCUUGUUGCUCACUUUACUUAUUUUGACAUUUUUCAUGUUAGGAGACAUGCCAAUGUCCCUGCCCACCUUUGUGCAAAACAUGCAUGCACAUUGGAGGUGACAGAGUGUUGGAUGGACUCCCCCCCGGGGUUCCUGGUCACCAGCCUAAUGGCUGACAUGGCCGGUGGAUCAUCGUAUGAAUAA
Molecule: ribosomal RNA, 303 nt
Filed under: Triticum aestivum (bread wheat)
Lineage: Eukaryota; Viridiplantae; Streptophyta; Magnoliopsida; Poales; Poaceae
Description: partial small subunit ribosomal RNA
Source: RNAcentral